UUUCCGUAGGUGAACCUGCGGAAGGAUCAUUACAGAGAACAUCGCCCUUACGGGUGACUCUCCAACCCUAUGUUAUUAUACCUUUGUUGCUUUGGCGAGCCGCCUCGGCCACCGGCUUACGCUGGUGAGUGCUUGCCAGAGAACCCCAAACUCUGAGUUUAAAUAUCGUCUGAGUACUAUAUAUUAGUUAAAACUUUCAACAACGGAUCUCUUGGUUCUG
This 220-nucleotide unclassified non-coding RNA is filed under the name plant metagenome. RNAcentral's name for it is "partial contains small subunit ribosomal RNA, internal transcribed spacer 1, and 5.8S ribosomal RNA". The record is from RNAcentral.